Molecule: long non-coding RNA, 3389 nt
Filed under: Homalodisca vitripennis (glassy-winged sharpshooter)
Lineage: Eukaryota; Metazoa; Arthropoda; Insecta; Hemiptera; Cicadellidae
Description: uncharacterized LOC124369858, transcript variant X1
Source: RNAcentral
CACAUCCAGGUGGCUGGUGGCCCACGAGGAGCUCGUGUAAAUGCUUGGUGGUGUUGUAUUUCUGUUAGUUAGUCUGAAAGUGUUAUAUUUAUUUCAGCUUUAAAUUAUUAUUUUAGUUUUCAUUUCAAACGUUUGUUAUAAUUUUAUUUUGUUUAGAUUAAGGGUGUGAAAUAUUUUAUAAUGUACCAUGAGCAAGUGCCUGUUGUGAGAAGAUAAUAGGUUCGAUUGGCAAUACAACACGGAACACCCUCAAAUGAACCAACACUACUUUUAUUUGUAAGAGCAUCUCAUUAUAACUCACUGCCGUUAAGAGUGCCAAGCUCUACAAUCACGCCUUAAAAUAUUUUACCAUAUUUCUGGCUCACCCUGUAUACAUACACACACAGGGUGGGGGCGGAUGGUAUUACAUAUCAGGGCCCCAGCCAAAUAUUCUUUCCGGGCCCCCGAAAGCUGAGUACAAAUGCACGGAAGUGCAAAGACAAUUCAGAAUGGAGUUCAACAAAGUGAAACAAUGUACUGGAUCAUUGCUCGCAUCAGAAAUAAGGUAUGCUGAUUAACACAAUGGCUCUUACUCAGCAUUGUUCUAUCAGACAAUUUUACCCAGGCCGGGGCCCUCAGGGGGCCUGGGCCAGCCCCACCAAACUUGUGUGGGGGUGGAUAGUGUUACAUGAUGUGGCCCCGGCCAAAUAUGUUUUCCGGGCCCCCGAAAGCUGAGUACAGUGGAUGCUACCGAUGUGAACUACACCGAUCUGGACGAGUGGACCUUCUGCUUUUCACUUUACUAUGUUUACCUUUGCCAUGUUCAGACAUGUUGACAUGUUGCGCUGUUCUUUGCUUGGUAAUGCUGAUGUAACGCAAUGGCAGGACAUUAACUUUGCUUUGAAGAAAGAAAGUUUGUUCAGAAAUAUUAUUGUAAAGCUAGAAAUGAAAUGGACAAUUUUACCCGAGCCGGGGCCCUCAGGGGGCCUGGACCAGCCCCCCAGUGUGGGGGCGGAUGUUAUUACAUAACAGGGCCCCGGCCAAAUAUUCUUUCUGGGCCCCCGAAAGCUGAGUACGUGUCUGCCCGGAAGUGCAGAGACAAUUCAGAAUGGAGUUCAACAAAGUGAAAAACAAUGUACUGUAUCAUUGCUCGCAUCAGAAAUAAGGAGAAGAAGGCUAAGGCUUGGGGAAGAAGAGGUUUUGAUCCAGACUACUGCCCUGGUGGAUUUUAAAAUUUAUCGAUUGCAGCGAAGGUGAGGCAAAAGCAUGAGUGUAAGAAAAGCAAAAUAUGACCUUCCUUCGAGAAUUGACUCCUACAAAAAAAAAAGCAAAUCAGGUAAUCUGAUGUAACGCAAAAGAAAUGAAACCGACAAAUUUACUGGGCCGGGGCCCUCAGGGGGCCUGGGCCAGCCCCACCAAACUUGUGUUACAUGACAGGGCCCCGGCCAAAUACUCUGUCCGGGCCCCCGAAAGCUGAGUACGGCCCUGCCCGGAAGUAAAAUUCAGAAUGGAGUUCAACAAAGUGAAACAAUGUACAGAUAGAAUAAUAUGUCUGAGCGGCAUUGAAGAUUUGGAUUGAAGCGUAAUGCUGAUUAACGCAAUGGCUCUUACUCAGCAGUGUUCUAUCAGACAAUUUUACCCAGGCCGGGGCCCUCAGGGGGCCUGGGCCAGCCCCACCAAACUUGUGUGGGGGUGGAUAGUGUUACAUGAUGUGGCCCCGGCCAAAUAUCUUUUCCGGGCCCCCGAAAGCUGAGUACAGUGGAUGCUACCGAUGUGAACUAGACCGAUCUGGACGAGUGGACCUUCUGCUUUUCACUUUACCAUGUUUACCUAUGCCAUGUUCAGACAUGUUGACGUGUUGCGCUGUUCUUUGCUUGCCUGACCACAAGCACGCCACGAGCACCGCCACCCGUCACCCCUACGGACCGGCCAGCAACAAGUCCUUGACCUUUGCCCCAAAACGAGCUCGACCUUCUAUAAUACGUAUAUCAUCAGGAAGAGAGUUCCAGAGGCGACAUGCCUGAACAGUGAGAAGUUCGAUCGAUAAACAGGAAUUGACAGUGAGGUAAUGCUGAUUAACGCAAUGGCUCUUACUCAGCAGUGUUCUAUCAGACAAUUUUACCCAGGCCGGGGCCCUCAGGGGGCCUGGGCCAGCCCCACCAAACUUGUGUGGGGGUGGAUAGUGUUACAUGAUGUGGCCCCGGCCAAAUAUCUUUUCCGGGCCCCCGAAAGCUGAGUACAGUGGAUGCUACCGAUGUGAACUAGACCGAUCUGGACGAGUGGACCUUCUGCUUUUCACUUUACCAUGUUUACCUUUGCCAUGUUCAGACAUGUUGACGUGUUGCGCUGUUCUUUGCUUGGUAAUGCUGAUUAACGCAAUGGCUCUUACUCAGCAGUGUUCUAUCAGACAAUUUUACCCAGGCCGGGGCCCUCAGGGGGCCUGGGCCAGCCCCACCAAACUUGUGUGGGGGUGGAUAGUGUUACAUGAUGUGGCCCCGGCCAAAUAUCUUUUCCGGGCCCCCGAAAGCUGAGUACAGUGGAUGCUACCGAUGUGAACUAGACCGAUCUGGACGAGUGGACCUUCUGCUUUUCACUUUACCAUGUUUACCUUUGCCAUGUUCAGACAUGUUGACGUGUUGCGCUGUUCUUUGCUUGGUAAUACUGAUGUAACGCAAUGACUCUUCUUCUGUGGGACGGCCUACUGCCAUGCAAUUACGAACUUGAAUAUUAAAAAUCUUGAACAAUAUUGUGAUUUAUCGUAUGUGUCUCAACAAAAAACGUGGGCGGAUGGUGUUACAUGACAGGGCCCCGGCCAAAUAUCCUUUCCGGGGCCCCGAAAGCUGAUUACGGCGCUGCUGCACGGAAGUGCAGAGACAAUUCAGAGUGGACGUUCAUGUAAUAAAAUUUUUGACUGAGUUCGAGAUCAACACACUGGACCAUUGCUUGCAUCAGAAAUAAGUGAAAGAAGCGCAAAAGAAGUGGAAGGUACUUCGUGAUUACUACAGAAGUGAGUUCCGAAAAAACGCAAAAAGAGAGAUCAGGCCAGGGAGCAGAUACUGUUUACAAACCUUAAAAUUGGCCUUACUUUAUGAGUUUGAAGUUUUUGAGAGGACAAUUUCAGGCAAGACCCUCCAGUGGAAAUAUAACAUUGAGUGAACACCGCUCUGAAAAGAGGAAAGCAGUUCAAACCGAAAUAACAGAGGUUUUCCUUCCGCACAUUUGAUACAGGAAUCGAUAUGCAGGACUUAAAAAAAGAAUUGGGAUUUUUGAGCCCAUGAACAUUUAUUUAACUUAGGAAUUGAAUUAACCCUCAAACUGGCGGUGUCUGCUCCUGUACUGGCACCCUUUUAUCAGCUGUUUGUAAAAUUUACAUUAAAGUGUUAUAUGCAUCAAUAAAUACUUUAAAUAUA